UGAAGCCCUUCGGGGUGGAUUAGUGGCGAACGGGUGAGUAACACGUGGGCAAUCUGCCCUUCACUCUGGGACAAGCCCUGGAAACGGGGUCUAAUACCGGAUAACACCGGCCUUCGCAUGGAGGCUGGUUGAAAGCUCCGGCGGUGAAGGAUGAGCCCGCGGCCUAUCAGCUUGUUGGUGGGGUAAUGGCCCACCAAGGCGACGACGGGUAGCCGGCCUGAGAGGGCGACCGGCCACACUGGGACUGAGACACGGCCCAGACUCCUACGGGAGGCAGCAGUGGGGAAUAUUGCACAAUGGGCGAAAGCCUGAUGCAGCGACGCCGCGUGAGGGAUGACGGCCUUCGGGUUGUAAACCUCUUUCAGCAGGGAAGAAGCGAAAGUGACGGUACCUGCAGAAGAAGCGCCGGCUAACUACGUGCCAGCAGCCGCGGUAAUACGUAGGGCGCAAGCGUUGUCCGGAAUUAUUGGGCGUAAAGAGCUCGUAGGCGGCUUGUCACGUCGGGUGUGAAAGCCCGGGGCUUAACCCCGGGUCUGCAUCCGAUACGGGCAGGCUAGAGUGUGGUAGGGGAGAUCGGAAUUCCUGGUGUAGCGGUGAAAUGCGCAGAUAUCAGGAGGAACACCGGUGGCGAAGGCGGAUCUCUGGGCCAUUACUGACGCUGAGGAGCGAAAGCGUGGGGAGCGAACAGGAUUAGAUACCCUGGUAGUCCACGCCGUAAACGUUGGGAACUAGGUGUUGGCGACAUUCCACGUCGUCGGUGCCGCAGC
Molecule: ribosomal RNA, 767 nt
Filed under: bacterium
Lineage: Bacteria
Description: bacterial SSU rRNA
Rfam family: Bacterial small subunit ribosomal RNA
Source: RNAcentral